Molecule: ribosomal RNA, 439 nt
Filed under: uncultured bacterium
Lineage: Bacteria
Description: partial 16S ribosomal RNA
Rfam family: Bacterial small subunit ribosomal RNA
Source: RNAcentral
CUACGGGGGGCUGCAGUGAGGAAUAUUGCACAAUGGGGGGAACCCUGAUGCAGCAACGCCGCGUGGAGGAUGACGCAUUUCGGUGUGUAAACUCCUUUUAUAUGUCAAGAAAAUGACGGUAGCAUAUGAAUAAGCACCGGCUAACUCCGUGCCAGCAGCCGCGGUAAUACGGAGGGUGCAAGCGUUACUCGGAAUCACUGGGCGGAAAGGACGCGUAGGCGGGUUGGAAAGUCAGGUGUGAAAUCCUACAGCUUAACUGUAGAACUGCACUUGAAACUUCUAAUCUAGAGUAUGGGAGGGGGAGAUGGAAUUAGUGGUGUAGGGGUAAAAUCCGUAGAUAUCACUAGGAAUACCUAAAGCGAAGGCGAUCUCCUGGAACAUUACUGACGCUAAGGCGUGAAAGCGUGGGGAGCAAACAGUAUUAGAUACCCCUGUAGUC